RNAcentral lists this ribosomal RNA (449 nucleotides) under uncultured bacterium. RNAcentral's name for it is "partial 16S ribosomal RNA". It matches the Rfam family "Bacterial small subunit ribosomal RNA", at positions 29 to 523 of the family's 1533-position model. The record is from RNAcentral.
AACGAACGCUGGCGGCAGGCUUAACACAUGCAAGUCGAACGCCACCUUCGGGUGGAGUGGCAGACGGGUGAGUAACGCGUGGAAACAUACCUUUUGCUUCGGAAUAUUCCCGGGAAACUGGGAGCAAUACCGAAUGUGCCCUGAGGGGGAAAGAUUUAUCGGCAAAAGAUUGGUCCGCGUUAGAUUAGGUAGUUGGUAGGGUAAAGGCCUACCAAGCCUACGAUCUAUAGCUGGUCUGAGAGGAUGAUCAGCCACAUUGGGACUGAGACACGGACCAAACUCCUACGGGAGGCAGCAGUGGGGAAUAUUGGACAAUGGGCGCAAGCCUGAUCCAGCCAUGCCGCGUGAAUGAUGAAGGCCUUAGGGUUGUAAAAUUCUUUCACCGGGGACGAUAAUGACGGUACCCGGAGAAGAAGCCCCGGCUAACUUCGUGCCAGCCGCCGCCGUAA